AAUCUCCUUUAAUUUUUUUAUUCUUGUUUGCCUAUUAGUGAUGUAAAAUGGUAUAGCUUCACAAAAAUAGUGCCGCUGUCUGACCGUAAUUGUGGGCCAUAAGCCAUCUGAGUUUGAAGUUUGAGAGAGUGGGUUUUAUUCUACCACACCAAAAUAACUGCAAUGUCGAUGGAAAUUGAUGAAGCACCCAGAAAUGUUUUGGCUGCAUCUGGAACCACUGGUAGUGUUUCUGUGUCCUUGCAUCCCCUAGUUAUAAUGAAUGUAUCUGAACACUGGACUCGUGUGAGAGCCCAAGAAGGAACAGCCCAACAAGUGGUUGGAGCUUUAAUUGGAAAACAGAAAGGACGGAAUAUAGAAAUUAUGAACUCUUUUGAAUUGAUGUUUGAUAGAAUUGAAGGACACAUUGUAAUUGACAAAGAUUAUUAUACUUCCAAGGAACAGCAAUGUAAUAACUUUCUCUAUUUCUU
Stegodyphus dumicola is the source of this 467-nucleotide unclassified non-coding RNA. The record is from RefSeq and is a predicted model, not a curated record. Lineage: Eukaryota; Metazoa; Arthropoda; Arachnida; Araneae; Eresidae.